UACGGGGGGAGCAAGCGUUGUUCGGAUUUACUGGGCGUAAAGGGCGCGUAGGCGGCCACUGCAAGUCAGUUUUGAAAUCUCCGGGCUUAACCCGGAAAGGUCAACUGAUACUGCAGGGCUAGAGUGCAGAAGGGGCAACUGGAAUUCUCGGUGUAGCGGUGAAAUGCGUAGAUAUCGAGAGGAACACCUGCGGCGAAGGCGGGUUGCUGGGCCGACACUGACGCUGAUGCGCGAAAGCCAGGGGAGCGAACGGG
This 254-nucleotide ribosomal RNA is filed under the name uncultured bacterium. Its description in RNAcentral is "partial 16S ribosomal RNA". It matches the Rfam family "Bacterial small subunit ribosomal RNA", at positions 524 to 776 of the family's 1533-position model. The record is from RNAcentral.